RNAcentral lists this ribosomal RNA (253 nucleotides) under uncultured bacterium. Its description in RNAcentral is "partial 16S ribosomal RNA". It matches the Rfam family "Bacterial small subunit ribosomal RNA", at positions 524 to 776 of the family's 1533-position model. The record is from RNAcentral.
UACGUAGGGUGCGAGCGUUAAUCGGAAUUACUGGGCGUAAAGCGUGCGCAGGCGGUCCGUUAAGACAGUUGUGAAAUCCCCGGGCUUAACCUGGGAACUGCAAUUGUGACUGACGGGCUAGAGUGUGUCAGAGGGGGGUGGAAUUCCACGUGUAGCAGUGAAAUGCGUAGAGAUGUGGAGGAACACCGAUGGCGAAGGCAGCCCCCUGGGAUAACACUGACGCUCAUGCACGAAAGCGUGGGGAGCAAACAGG